RNAcentral lists this ribosomal RNA (253 nucleotides) under uncultured bacterium. Its description in RNAcentral is "partial 16S ribosomal RNA". It matches the Rfam family "Bacterial small subunit ribosomal RNA", at positions 524 to 776 of the family's 1533-position model. The record is from RNAcentral.
GACGUAGGGCGCGAGCGUUGUCCGGAUUUAUUGGGCGUAAAGGGCGCGUAGGCGGCUUUUCAAGUGACGGGUGAAAUCCCUCGGCUUAACCGAGGAACUGCCUGUCAGACUGGAAGGCUUGAGACCGGGAGAGGUGAGUGGAAUUCCCAGUGUAGCGGUGAAAUGCGUAGAUAUUGGGAGGAACACCAGUGGCGAAGGCGGCUCACUGGACCGGAACUGACGCUGAGGCGCGAAAGCGUGGGGAGCAAACAGG